CUGCAGGGGGCAGGUGGAGGGAAGGGACACCCCAUAAUCAUUCCCGGCUUUCCUUAGGAGAGCACCUCAUUCACCACAUUCAAUCUAAUGGGAGAUGACUGGAAGGAAAGGCCAUGUCCCAAAAGCCUGGACUUUGAGGCCCAGGGUGUCAGCAGAGACCAGAUUGGAAGUUCAAGCUAUGGCAAUCUGGGAGCCAAGAUCCCAGAUGGAUGGUACAGCCACUCAAUCCAGCAGGGAUGUCCUGAGAAGCCAUGGGACUUGGGCCUCAAGUUUGAGGGACUUUUGGACUUGGGAUGGAACUCUAAAGGAAUAGAGCUUUUCCUUUUUCCCAGUGACUGAGAUGGCACAAGGAAUCCUGAUUAGUGAGCAGUACCAGGAAUUGAUUGUACUGGCUUUGAAACCCCAUGGUGUUUAUAUGAGAAGAUGCCUAUAAAGAUGGAACUGAACAAGUUUCCUUUAGGUGAGACAGAAACAUCUCUGAAGGAUGAUAUCAACCAAGGACUAAGUGUCUAUUGUAUAAAUAGUUCUUUACUGAGUACUAUAAGUAAUUCACAAUCAAAUAGUCAACUAGCAUUUAUUAAGGGCUUAUUAUGUACAAAGUAUGCUGGGGAUACAAAUACAAGGAGAAAUCAAGAUAAUCUUUGCCCUUGAAGAGUUUAUAUUCUAGGAAGGCAACUCAUCAAAGGAAGCUGCAAAGGGGAGGGGAACAGAAAGAAGGUAUUCAGCCAGGGGCAUAGUAUCAAAAAUAAAUACAUAAAUAAAUAGAGUACAUCCUGGAUAAGAAUGAGCUUCUUACACAGAGAUUUGGGGAUUAGUUAUUCAAUCAGAGGGAGAAAAAGCAAGGAAAAAAGAUAUUUCUAGGUGUGGAUUCCAAGGGCUAAAGUGAGCUUCAAAGAUGGAGAGUUAGAUAGAGUUAAAAAAAAAAAAAAAAAAAAAAAGUCCAGAGUCUGAAGUAGAAUGUGAACUCAAAGUCAGUUCAGAAUAAAUCGUUGAGAUUCAAGUGCUUGGUAUUCAUUGACAAAGAAUAGAGAGCUCAGCACCCUGAAAAAAAUACUGGGCUUAAGGACAGGACACCUGAUUUCAAAACCCAAUUCAAACCCCAAUUGAGUAUAGAUAAAUUACCUUUCUGAGACUUAAUUUUCUCAUAUGUAAAAUGGAGAUAAUAAUAUUGAUAUUAUCUGCAAUUCAGAGUUGUUACAGAAGUUGUUGCAAACCUUAUAGAAACUUAAAUAAUUCUUAUAAAUCUUUCCAACUUGGAGCAAUAAUCCUAUGAAAAGCAAAAGGUACAUCAAGAUCAAUGUAAAACUAAUUAGAUAGCAGUAAUGAGCAUAGAAAUGCUGGGAAGAAGAAGAGGUAUAGUGGAAUAAGAGACUGGAAUUCAUCAAAAAAAAAAAAACUGAGGAGAAAAUAUAUUUGGAUGAUGAUUUUGAAGUUGAAGCAAUAGAGCUUUCUGCAGAGGAUAAUAGGAACACUCCCAUCUUCCCAAACCAGAAAGGCAAUGAAUAGUGGAAAACUAUUGACCAGUCUUGAUAUAACAUUAGUCAAAUGGAACUGAGUGGUGGUAUAUUGAGAAAUCAAGGUGCUAUCUCUAGCUUAUCAGACAUUAUUCUGUUCCCUUAGAUAUAUUUCAUCUGCAUUCUUAUAAAUAAGGACAAAAGCUCUCCGUAAUAUGUAAAACUCUAUUCUAAGGUGAUGAUUUAGAAUUCCUGAAAGAAAAAAGCUUCAUUGAUCUAAGGAAUUAAUAACCCUGUAUUUAUGAACUAGACUAUAAAAUUCAAAAAUCAUUAUGGCUGGAAGGAGCUCUUGAGGUUACAUAGUCACUGGAAAAUAAGUUUAGAGCUUAGGGGCUUUAGGUGGGUAUAAUAUCUUUAUUUUUACAUAUGGAAAAAGGCUAGCAAGGUCAAGUUAUUUGUCUGAGAUAGUAAUAGAGCCAGAAUAUGAACCCAGUUCUCUUCCUCCCAAUCUCUUACUACUAUGCUUUCCCUCCUAAAAUUCUUUUCAUCUCACCUCCUUGAUUUACUGUUAGGAAAAAUGAAGACAAACAAUGUAACUUCUUUAAGGUUACACAGCUAAUCAAUUAGAACUUCAUGGAAACUAGGACCCAGUCCUUACCUCCUAGACAUUCGAGUGCUUCCUCUCCUUUCUGCCUUCCUCUGCCAAAACUUCCAAUUCCUUCAGUCUCAACAAUUUAUACUUACAAUAUCCAUAGAAGUGCAGUAAAAGUACCACCUUUUAUGUGAGACUCUUCCUAAUGACUCCAACAACUAAUGCCUUUCAUCUGGAACUGCACUAAGACUCUGUGAACACAAUGCAUUUAUGCAUUUGAUGUAUACUUUCUUUUGAAGCUGUUUUCUUCCUCAGGUGAAUUUGAGCUCUUUGAGGUCAAGGAGAAUUUAAUUUUUGUAUUUGUAUCCAUAGCCUUUGGAUUUGCUUCUUACUCCCUGGCCAAAAACUUACAUCGCUUUAUCUUUCUGUAUUUCUUGUCUGUAAAAUGAAGGACCUAAAAUGUCCCCAAAGGUCACUCUGACUUGAAAUCUGGUUUGGUCUAAUGGGUAAAGUACAGGAAACAAUGCAUGGGCAAGUUGCUUCACUUAAAUGAAGCAAAAAUUAGUGUCUAUUUGCUUCUAAAAGGAUUGAGGAUGGGGCAGGGGAAGAGUGGGGAGAAACAUUUUAUAAUCAGAUUAAGGAAAAGAGAGGAUGUAUCUGAGUUUAAGUUAUAAGUUGAAACACAUCACUAUGCCAACUGAAGCUGUGGUGUAGAAAGCAGUGCUUUAGAUGAAAAGGCAGAAGAUUUGAAUUGCAAGUCAAGCUCUGAUAAUUGUGAGAGUUUUACAUAGUCAUUUUCCAUCUCUGGGCCUCAGAUCCCCAGGUUUGCAAAGUCUGUUAUCUUUAAAAUGAAAGGGUAGUAUUAGAUGAUUUAACUGACAUUCAAGAUAUUGGUCUUUAAAGCAUAAAAAUUUUACAUGUCACAGAUGUCUUUUAACUACUUUAGACAAAUUCUUAAAAUGGCUUGUUACUGGAUUAACUAAUAGACUGUUGCAUUCUGUUCAAAGAAAUGAGUAUCUCCCUGAGCAAAACUGGAAUAAUCCAGAGGAGAGGUGGUCAAAUAGUUAUUCCCUGUGGGGACACACUUUGCAAGGGAAGUUAGGAAAAAAGCUGGUGAGUCCUGUUGUCCCUGGAAACUAUGCAUAGUGACCUGGCAUCAUAGGAAUUUGCCCCUGAUGCUUUGGAGAGUUAAGGGAACUCUGCAGUUGGGAGGUAGUAUAUGAGUAUUUCUCUGAAGUGCUAAUGAAUAGCUCUCUUUGGAACUGCAAGUCUAGUUCUUAACUCUCAUUCUGUAUCAGAGGGAGCUCUGAGGACUUGAGACAAAGGCUUAAAAGGCUUAGAAGGGAAUUGUUGGCUUAAAUGAGCCUUCCUGAGGAUAAGGGUGACAAUUGUCCUUUAUAAUCCCUUUUUUCCCCUGGUUUUCUAAUCUUGGGGUCAAGAAUUGUUCUGUUUUGUCUAACCCAUAAAACAACCAACCAGUUCUGGCCGGUAAUCAACCACGAAAUCACUCCACAUAUUUUUAUUGUCUUAUAAUUUUAUCACUUCCUUGGAUUCCUUCUUAGAUCCAAAAUACCUGGACUCUAAUCUGGUUUGACUAUUGACUAUCACUGCUUGUAUUACACUAGAUAAAUUAAUGAACUUUCUUGGGUCUCAGUUUCUUGAUCUGUAAAAUGAAGGAAGAAUUCAAUUAAUAGAGAAUGAUAGAUGUGUUUAAGUGUUUGAAUUUAUACAGUUAAGAUUUGCAAAAUUCUUUACAUAUGUUAUCUAAUUUAAUCCUCACAACAAUUCUUUAAGGUAAAAGAUCGAUAUCUUCAUUUUACAGAUGAGGAAACUAACUGGCAGUGUUGUGUUGGUAAAUGUUUGACAACCAGCUCUCUAAACAUAUAUAUGCAUGACAUAUCCUUAAAUUUAAUCUGCAUUAAUAUUUUCUUCAUUACUUCUUGUCUAGAAAAUCAAUAAAAUGUUAAGUCAAUUACUGAUUUUUGACAUUUGGAUUUCUCUUGUGUGAAUUUUCGUGUUGUGAAUUUAAUAAUCAAUGGAGAAGUCAGUUCUAGCUAGCCCCAGCACAUCCCUGAAACUGAGACUGAUUUGCCCAGAGUUAUAUGGUUAGUAAUUAUUCAAGGAAAAUUUGAACUCACGGCUUUCU
Molecule: long non-coding RNA, 4192 nt
Filed under: Sarcophilus harrisii (Tasmanian devil)
Lineage: Eukaryota; Metazoa; Chordata; Mammalia; Dasyuromorphia; Dasyuridae
Description: lncRNA (ENSSHAG00000031103.1)
Source: RNAcentral